Galleria mellonella (greater wax moth) is the source of this 1819-nucleotide long non-coding RNA. RefSeq lists it as uncharacterized. The record is from RefSeq and is a predicted model, not a curated record. The transcript has 2 exons. Lineage: Eukaryota; Metazoa; Arthropoda; Insecta; Lepidoptera; Pyralidae.
AUCCAUUACAAACAAACUAACAUGUCUUUUCUCUUUAUAAUGUUAGUACAGAUUAUUAUUUUAUAUAUUUGAUUAUAAAUAGUUACACUACUACUCACUGAAGAACUUGGAAAACAGGAACUAUUAUAGAAGGGACAGAAAGCAAGUCUACAAAGUGUAAAAAUAAUAAUAAAAAAAAAAUUGCUUGAUAAUAAGCAUGAUGGUUUGUCUAGCAAGUGGGCCUCAUUUCAGUGUGUUAUCGUAAUUUGUUAGUGAAAAUGAAUUGGAUUUCAUAAUACAUGUUCUAAAACGUUUGUAAAGCAAAACAAUUUUGGAAAUAAGAAUAAUAGUUUUUCCUCUAACUGUAUUAGGUUAGCUAAAAGAGAUCUCUUUCAGAGAUAAGCCCACCCUUGCUAACAAUUUGUUUAACUAAUCGCUGUAUCUUUUUUUAUCAAGUACAAAGAAUAUAUAUAAUUCAACAACAACGAGUCAACUUCAUAACGAAAAACAGGCUUCGUGUAUAUGACGUUCUUAAUAUCAAACAGUACCUACAUACAUUCCAAUUAAGUAUUUACUGCUUCCUCCAAAAAAUUACUGAGUAAACAACUUGGCAAAAAAUGACAAGAAACAGAUGAACACCCACAUUCAUACAUAAUAUCGUUACAAUAUUAUAAAUGUGAAAGUGUGUUUAUUUGUUUACUCUAACGACUUAAUUAUUCACUAUGAAAUUGGGUAUAUAGGUACUAUAUGGAAUGGAGAAAACAAGAGAAAAAUUGUUACCGCGGUCAGUGAACAAAUAUAACAUAUAUCAGAUCACGCGGUCAAAAUUGCGUGGAAAAGCUAGUAAAAAAAAAUAAAGCAUAGAUGAAUGGCCGACAGAAGAAGAAUCUUUAUCUAGUAAAAGAUAGUUUUCUAUAUUUUAUGUAAAGUUUUACUUCUACUCUUAGAAGAAAUAAAACUCAAGCAAGCUCCAUCAAGCAAACCGUGCGCAUGUUUUAUUACUUUACUUUGUACUUUCUAAUUAUGUAAAAAGUAAUCAGUUUCCUCGAAAAUAAACAUAAUUAGUAAAAGCAAAAGAAUGGCCAUAUAAUGACGUCAAUAUAAUAGUCAAACUUAAAAAGUAAUAUUAAGAUGAGGGCACAACAUUGAAAUCUCUUCAACGCUUUGACUUAGUUAAAAUGGUAAAGAGAUUAGUCUCUCAAAACAAUUUCUAGUAAAUAAUUGUUUGUUGGAAACACUCUUCGUAUAUUUCGGAAUGUUUAUAGGUAAUCUAUAUAAACAUAUAUACUACAUAACACUUCCGAAUAAUAAAAUACCACUGUAAAGCUUUCCACAAAAUGUGAAAGAGAAACACAAACGUGUAGUAUGUACCUAAUACAACCAUUUAGUAUGCGGGUUCAAGAUAGCAAAGGGUGAAAAUGGUUGUUGUUUUUUCCAUAAAAAUGUUUACAUUGUGUAAGAUUUGGACAACAAACAUUUUUCGAAACUUUACUGUUGUGGCGCUGUGCCUUUAUUCCGUGCCUUAUUUCAUUAUAGUAUUUAGGAACCGUUAUAUUAUAUUAAAGGUUCUGAAAUGAAGAAUCGCAAACCCUAUCGAUGCAAAAAAUAAUAUCAAAAUCCAUGACAAAACGAUAACGAAAAUCUACGUAAUAUAAAAAAAGCAACCGAAAAAUAGGACCACUUCUUAUUUUACGUCGCUGAAAAAUAUAAUAAAUUAAUAAUUGGGCAACAGUUCCAAAUAUAUUUUUAUAUUAAUAAUAUAAUAUUAUUGUAAUUCUUCCUACUGUUCUAUUACUUUCUUAAGUUUACAAAUUAUGUAAUAUAAAUUUAACUUUUUUUA